UCGCACUAGUCGGGGAGUCAGCGGUGCCCUGUACCUGCAACCCGCUACAGCAGGGAUGAAUUCCGGCCCCCGGUCUCGCGAUGUGUCGACUGCCCUUCGUAAGUGGUGUUGACGAAACGGUCUUGCGCAACGGAUGCCCGUGAACCAUGUCAGGCGGGAGACCGAGCAGCAUUAAGCGGUGUCAUUCGUGUGCCGCGAGGAAGCCGUUUUCGAGCAGGCUGCGAAGGUACCGGACAUAUCGCGCACCCCAAAGGCCGGUGUGCGA
RNAcentral lists this signal recognition particle RNA (265 nucleotides) under Clostridiales bacterium. RNAcentral's name for it is "signal recognition particle sRNA large type". It matches the Rfam family "Bacterial large signal recognition particle RNA". From Rfam's summary of the family: The signal recognition particle (SRP) is a universally conserved ribonucleoprotein involved in the co-translational targeting of proteins to membranes. Archaeal SRP consists of a 7S RNA and homologues of the eukaryotic SRP19 and SRP54 proteins. The record is from RNAcentral. Lineage: Bacteria; Bacillati; Bacillota; Clostridia; Eubacteriales.